RNAcentral lists this ribosomal RNA (458 nucleotides) under uncultured Sphingobacteriales bacterium. RNAcentral describes it as "bacterial SSU rRNA". It matches the Rfam family "Bacterial small subunit ribosomal RNA", at positions 924 to 1382 of the family's 1533-position model. Lineage: Bacteria; Pseudomonadati; Bacteroidota; Sphingobacteriia; Sphingobacteriales. The record is from RNAcentral.
CACAAGCGGUGGAGCAUGUGGUUUAAUUCGAUGAUACGCGAGGAACCUUACCUGGGCUCGAACGUAAGAUGACUGUAGGUGAAAGCUUACAUCUCUUCGGAGCAUUUUACGAGGUGCUGCAUGGUUGUCGUCAGCUCGUGCCGUGAGGUGUCGGGUUAAGUCCCAUAACGAGCGCAACCCCUACCUUUAGUUGCCAUCAGGUUAAGCUGGGGACUCUAAAGGAACUGCCUACGCAAGUAGUGAGGAAGGCGGGGAUGACGUCAAAUCAGCACGGCCCUUACGUCCAGGGCUACACACGUGCUACAAUGGCCGAUACAGAGGGCAGCUACCUGGUGACAGGAUGCAAAUCUCCAAAGUCGGUCUCAGUUCGGAUCGGAGUCUGCAACCCGACUCCGUGAAGUUGGAUUCGCUAGUAAUCGCGCAUCAGCCAUGGCGCGGUGAAUACGUUCCCGGGCCUU